CAGAGUUUUCAUAUGUGAGGUAAUCUUACUGGGAGUGAAGGCAGUAUGACCGCUUGAUACGAGAGACACAUUCUAUUUUUAAAGGUCAACAUACUGUAAGCUUCAUUCCCUUUAAAGCAGAGUUUUCAUAUGUGAGGUAAUCUUGCUUAUGCUGGGAGUGAAGGCAGUGCGUAUGACCGCUUGAUAUGAGAGAC
Molecule: non-coding RNA, 194 nt
Organism: Misgurnus anguillicaudatus (oriental weatherfish)
Lineage: Eukaryota; Metazoa; Chordata; Actinopteri; Cypriniformes; Cobitidae
Source: RefSeq, a predicted model, not a curated record